This is a long non-coding RNA of Drosophila albomicans, 476 nucleotides long. RefSeq lists it as uncharacterized. Lineage: Eukaryota; Metazoa; Arthropoda; Insecta; Diptera; Drosophilidae. The record is from RefSeq and is a predicted model, not a curated record. The transcript is spliced from 2 exons.
CCACCUCACUCAGUUUUUCUACGUUUUUUAAAGUCCCGUUUCGGGGUUUCCAUCUGCACGAACCGAGAAAUAUGGGCAACGGUAAAAUUCUCAAUAAUGCCGCUCUGAAAUGUCAGCUGUUCAAAUGUAAACACGAGUUGGCGAACAAUUCAAAAAUCAGCACGCGCAUUUUAAAAUGGAAAAUUUUCUUAAAUUUUAAGAUUUUGAUGAGGAUUUUGACGAAAUGGUUGAUAAAUUAACCGAGUAUAGGCCAUUGCCACUAUUAAAGAAAUCGCCAUCAGUUUGGGCCUAUGAACGGCAUGGGUGUUUUUGGGAGCGCGAUAUUCCUAGAAACAGCGAAUUUUUUUUUUAAGAUAAUUUUUAAAUUAAUAGGGAGGAGUAUGGCAUCCUUGUGGAGCGCUCUUCGUGGAUUGGCCAAAAAAGACACUACAUUUCUCCUCCCAUAACUCGAACAAAAAAGCCUCGGAGAUGCCACU